CCUACGGGUGGCAGCAGUGGGGAAUAUUGGGCAAUGGGCGCAAGCCUGACCCAGCAACGCCGCGUGAAGGAAGAAGGCUUUCGGGUUGUAAACUUCUUUUGUCAGGGACGAAGCAAGUGACGGUACCUGACGAAUAAGCCACGGCUAACUACGUGCCAGCAGCCGCGGUAAUACGGAGGUGGCAAGCGUUAUCCGGAUUUAUUGGGUGUAAAGGGCGUGUAGGCGGGAAUGCAAGUCAGAUGUGAAAACUAUGGGCUCAACCCAUAGCCUGCAUUUGAAACUGUAUUUCUUGAGUGCUGGAGAGGCAAGCGGAAUUCCGUGUGUAGCGGUGAAAUGCGUAGAUAUACGGAAGAACACCAGUGGCGAAGGCAGAUUGCUAAACAGUAACUGACGCUGAGGCGCGAAAGCGUGGGGAGCAAACAGGAUUAGAUACCCCUGUAGUC
RNAcentral lists this ribosomal RNA (443 nucleotides) under uncultured bacterium. RNAcentral describes it as "partial 16S ribosomal RNA". It matches the Rfam family "Bacterial small subunit ribosomal RNA", at positions 338 to 795 of the family's 1533-position model. The record is from RNAcentral.